UCAUGCUCACCUGUCCAGCAGGCUUCCUGCUGCUCUGCACACCUGUUCCCAAUCAUCUCAUCAGCCUGUGACCUGUUCCCGUGCCGGCCUCCCCAGCUGCACCUCAUCAGCUAACGAGUCUCCCAGCACUCAGCUGCUCCUUCAGCAACACACAGAAACUGUUCCAGCUGACAGCGUGGAGGGAGCUGUGGACCUGGUGAACUGUGACAGAGAACUGAACUGACCCUCGUCUUUCAGAAACACAACAGCUCCAUUAUGCUAAAGCUACAUCAGCUGUUCCACCACAAAGCUUCACCGCCACUGGAGAGGUCGUCAUUAUGUACAGAAGCUCCGGGAGGUCUGUGUUGUAUAAAGAGAGGGGAGAAGUGUGAGUCUCUGGGUAUUAACCCAUUAUUAAUGGUGACUGGUGCCUGGCAGCACGACGCAGCACGACUGAUUCUGAGAGAGAGAGGCAUCUGUCAGACAACACAGAAUGGAGGAAAUGUCAGAAGAUGAGCUCUGUAAUCAGGCAUCCCAUCCUGAUGCAUGUCAUAUAUGUAUUGGACAGACAGAUGGAGCGCAGAACCACUUCCUGUCCCGUCCUUCCUGACAGCAGUAAGA
This is a long non-coding RNA of Cottoperca gobio, 600 nucleotides long. RefSeq lists it as uncharacterized. NCBI's taxonomy places the organism in Eukaryota, Metazoa, Chordata, Actinopteri, Perciformes, Bovichtidae. The transcript is spliced from 4 exons. The record is from RefSeq and is a predicted model, not a curated record.